UUCAAGAUCAAGCAUCAUGAUGACAAUUCUCAUUGCCCCGUCCUCGUUUGUCACCACUUACCGGCCACUUGAUUGGUGGCAGGCACUGGGCUACACAUCUUACAAGAUCUGCGAAAUCCUGGUGAAAACCAGCAUUCAAGGAAAGAAUUUAACAGUGAUCAGUAUGCAAGCCAGAAGAGGCAGAAUUUCCAGCCUCCUGUCCCUCAUCUGAGAAAUGCAGAGACCAAUAAUAACUACCACAUGCAAAGGCUUUCAUGACCGACCGCCAGGAGAGUUCUCAGCUCAGUACUUGGCACAGCACCCGCAGUCAAUAAGUAAUAGAAAACAUUUAAUAAAUACC
Long non-coding RNA from Mustela erminea (ermine), 340 nucleotides. RefSeq lists it as uncharacterized. The transcript is spliced from 3 exons. The record is from RefSeq and is a predicted model, not a curated record. NCBI's taxonomy places the organism in Eukaryota, Metazoa, Chordata, Mammalia, Carnivora, Mustelidae.